RNAcentral lists this long non-coding RNA (348 nucleotides) under Monodelphis domestica (gray short-tailed opossum). RNAcentral's name for it is "lncRNA (ENSMODG00000039065.1)". Lineage: Eukaryota; Metazoa; Chordata; Mammalia; Didelphimorphia; Didelphidae. The record is from RNAcentral.
UCCUAGAAGCAUUCAUUGAGAACAGUUUCUUAUUUCUUGUUCAUAUCCCAAAAGUACUGGACCUUUUUGGACAGAAGCAUCACCUACUGUAGAGAUCAGAACAACUAAUGAGGACAGAAAGGUCUGGUUGUAAACACUGGAGUGGAGUGGAGCCAGAAGGAAGAGGCACCUCUGGAGAUUAGGGAAAGAGGAAAAGAAAAAAAAUCAACUUGGAACUCCAGGAACAGUGAAAUGAAUAGAACCAAGAGGACAAUGUACACAACUCCACAAUUAAAAUUGGAAAAAUAAAUUGUGAAGAUUACCCCCAGUCAGAGAACGGAAAUAUGAAAACAUGAAAGAAUUGAGUUG